RNAcentral lists this ribosomal RNA (256 nucleotides) under uncultured bacterium. Its description in RNAcentral is "partial 16S ribosomal RNA". It matches the Rfam family "Bacterial small subunit ribosomal RNA", at positions 524 to 776 of the family's 1533-position model. The record is from RNAcentral.
UACGUAGGGUGCAAGCGUUUGUCCGGAAUUAUUGGGCGUAAAGAGCGUGUAGGCGGCCCCGUUAGUCCGCUGUGAAAGUCCAGGGCUCAACCUUUGAAUGUCAGUGGAUACUGCCGGGCUAGAGUCCGGAAGAGGCGAGUGGAACUCCUGGUGUAGCGGUGGAAUGCGCAGAUAUCAGGAAGAACACCAACGGCGAAGGCAGCUCGCUGGGACGGUACUGACGCUGAGACGCGAAAAGCGUGGGGGAGCGAACAGG